CUAAUUUGACAGCUCCCAGCGGAGAAGGGAUAUUCUGCAGACGUCUGCGGUGAAGCAGGCAUUCUGCCGGACAGCCCAUAUGAGACAUCCAUCAUUGCAAGGCCAUAGGAGUGGGAAGAGCCGCUUCACAGGCAGUGCUGCAUGGAGUACCAGGCAACUACCAACUGGGCUACACAGCUUUAUUUGAAGGAUUUCCUGAUACUUCAAUGAAUCCAUCUUGCCUUCCACACGCUGCAGGUUUCCAGUGCCAGAGGAUGCAAAGCAGCCCCAGAGCAUCACCGAGCCACCACCGUGCUUGAGUGUGGACAGUGUUCUUUCUUCAUUCUUCUUCCUCCAGGCAUACUGCUGAUCCAUCGUGCCGAAAAGUUCCAAUUUUGUUUCAUCACAAAACACAUCACAGAACAGAAUCACAAAACUUCUGUGGCUUACUGAUAUGAUUUUGGGACUAAUUUGCUUGUGCUUUUGGGUCAGUAGUGGUGUACGUCUUGGAGUUCUG
Molecule: long non-coding RNA, 496 nt
Organism: Ictalurus punctatus (channel catfish)
Lineage: Eukaryota; Metazoa; Chordata; Actinopteri; Siluriformes; Ictaluridae
Source: Ensembl